CCUGCGGAAGGAUCAUUGUCGAAACCUGCAAAGCAGACCGCGAACCCGUUCCGAACAACCCCGGGGCAGCGAGGGCCAGGCAACCUCCCACCGAGGCCUCAACCCUGUUGCCGCGCGCGCCCACGCCGCGUCGACAGGGCUAACAAACUCGGGUGCGGAAUGCGCCAAGGAAUACACAUCGUGGCGCUCUCCUCCCCCUCCACGCCCCAUCUGCGGGGCGGCGGGGGAGCCGGGGACGUCUAUCAAAUGUCAAAAUGACUCUCGGCAACGGAUAUCUCGGCUCUCGCAUCGAUGAAGAACGUAGCAAAAUACGACACUUGGUGUGAAUUGCAAAAUCUCAUGAACCAUCGAGUCUUUGAACGCAAGUUGCGCCCGAAGCCAUUAGGCCGAGGGCACGUCUGCCUGGGCGUCACGCAUCGCAUCGCCCCCCUCCCCCGCGGGGUGGGGUGGAGAUUGGCCUCCCGUGCGCGAUUGCGCGCGUGGCCGGCCCAAAUACGAAUCCUCCGUCGGUGCGCAUCGCGACCAGUGGUGGUUGAUGAUUCAACUCACGUGAUGUCGCGUCCCGCGUCGCCGUCGGCCCGAAAACGAUCACGAAACCCAACGGCGCGAGGACGCAUCGUGCCCACGACCGCGACCCCAGGUCAGGUGGGAUCACCCGCUGAGUUUAAGCAUAUCAAUAAGC
Molecule: ribosomal RNA, 682 nt
Filed under: Paraleonurus sibiricus (Siberian motherwort)
Lineage: Eukaryota; Viridiplantae; Streptophyta; Magnoliopsida; Lamiales; Lamiaceae
Description: eukaryotic LSU rRNA
Rfam family: 5.8S ribosomal RNA (bases 257-412)
Source: RNAcentral